Chiloscyllium plagiosum (whitespotted bambooshark) is the source of this 321-nucleotide non-coding RNA. The record is from RefSeq and is a predicted model, not a curated record. Lineage: Eukaryota; Metazoa; Chordata; Chondrichthyes; Orectolobiformes; Hemiscylliidae.
CUACAAUACAUUUUUGGGGUAAGUGGGACUUUAACAUUAUCGCUGCACUACAAAGACACUCAUAUGCACUGAGAGCUGGCCUAAGCACAGGGCUGUGUUUCCUGUUCUGCACUCACACACCAGCUUUCAAAGCGAAGGACCUUUGGCCUCCCAGGCAGGACUAGAAGAUCCUGGAAGAAAUGUGCGAACUGGGAAAAUCUCCAUGUGACGCAGCAAUGGGCAAUGCACAUAACAUUUUCACGGCUCAGAACGUUCAGGCCAUUCGGUGCUUCUGCAUACAAAUCCCGCAAAAGAAUACAAGAAAAGAUCACCUCACAUUGC